Molecule: ribosomal RNA, 273 nt
Filed under: uncultured bacterium
Lineage: Bacteria
Description: partial 16S ribosomal RNA
Rfam family: Bacterial small subunit ribosomal RNA
Source: RNAcentral
UACGAAGGGUGCAAGCGUUACUCGGAAUUACUGGGCGUAAAGCGUGCGUAGGUGGUUUGUUAAGUCUGAUGUGAAAGCCCUGGGCUCAACCUGGGAACUGCAUUGGAUACUGGCUUACUAGAGUGCGGUAGAGGGUAGCGGAAUUCCCGGUGUAGCAGUGAAAUGCGUAGAUAUCGGGAGGAACAUCCGUGGCGAAGGCGGCUACCUGGACCAGCACUGACACUGAGGCACGAAAGCGUGGGGAGCAAACAGGAUUAGAAACCCCCGUAGUCC